GGCUUUGAUGGCUCUGCUCCACUCGGGGAAUAAUAUUAUCUUCGUUUUAUCGGCGUAUUAUUAAUAAAUAAUGUUCUACUUCACAAUGCUUCCUGCAUUUGUCAUGUAGAUUUAGGUCGGUUUUGACCGAGAAAUGGGUUUUGAAUCCUAAAAAUGGUAUGUAUCAAACAUAUGAUGCAGCAUUUUAAUGAUGUGUGUGCGCGCGCUCAUGCGCAAAACUUGGAUGAGCUGACCUAGCUACAUGUUUGAACUUUGAAUGAAUGAUGUUUCGUGUCAACUGCAUGGUUUCUGCUAGGGGUAUGCCCCAUGAUGGAUUGUUGUUGUAAGCUAGAGGCUAGGGCUGAUUCUGUGUCUGUCUCUUACUGCU
This 367-nucleotide long non-coding RNA is filed under the name Actinidia chinensis (golden kiwifruit). Its description in RNAcentral is "long non-coding RNA (ACHI_LNC003064)". The record is from RNAcentral. Lineage: Eukaryota; Viridiplantae; Streptophyta; Magnoliopsida; Ericales; Actinidiaceae.